Molecule: ribosomal RNA, 492 nt
Filed under: uncultured bacterium
Lineage: Bacteria
Description: partial 16S ribosomal RNA
Rfam family: Bacterial small subunit ribosomal RNA
Source: RNAcentral
AGUGAACGCUGGCGGUAGGCCUAACACAUGCAAGUCGAACGGCAGCACAGUAAGAGCUUGCUCUUACGGGUGGCGAGUGGCGGACGGGUGAGGAAUACAUCGGAAUCUACUUUUUCGUGGGGGAUAACGUAGGGAAACUUACGCUAAUACCGCAUACGACCUACGGGUGAAAGCAGGGGAUCUUCGGACCUUGCGCGAUUGAAUGAGCCGAUGUCGGAUUAGCUAGUUGGCGGGGUAAAGGCCCACCAAGGCGACGAUCCGUAGCUGGUCUGAGAGGAUGAUCAGGCACAGUGGAAAGGAGAGACGGUGCAGCCUCCUACGGGAGGAAACAGGGGGGAAUAUUGGAGACUGGGCGCAAGAUAGAGCUAGGUAUAGCGCGAAAGUGAAGAAGGGCUUCGGGUUGAAAAGCCCGUUUAUUGGGAAAGAAAAGGAGAAGGUUAAGAACGCGAUGAUCGGAAGGUACCCAAAGAAUAGGCAAGGGCUAACUUCGUG